RNAcentral lists this ribosomal RNA (543 nucleotides) under aff. Alternaria sp. RNAcentral describes it as "eukaryotic LSU rRNA". The stretch from base 188 to 341 matches the Rfam family "5.8S ribosomal RNA". Lineage: Eukaryota; Fungi; Ascomycota; Dothideomycetes; Pleosporales; Pleosporaceae. The record is from RNAcentral.
GGUGACCUGCGGAGGGACAUUACACAAAUAUGAAGGCGGGCUGGAACCUCUCGGGGUUACAGCCUUGCUGAAUUAUUCACCCUUGUCUUUUGCGUACUUCUUGUUUCCUUGGUGGGUUCGCCCACCACUAGGACAAACAUAAACCUUUUGUAAUUGCAAUCAGCGUCAGUAACAAAUUAAUAAUUACAACUUUCAACAACGGAUCUCUUGGUUCUGGCAUCGAUGAAGAACGCAGCGAAAUGCGAUAAGUAGUGUGAAUUGCAGAAUUCAGUGAAUCAUCGAAUCUUUGAACGCACAUUGCGCCCUUUGGUAUUCCAAAGGGCAUGCCUGUUCGAGCGUCAUUUGUACCCUCAAGCUUUGCUUGGUGUUGGGCGUCUUGUCUCUAGCUUUGCUGGAGACUCGCCUUAAAGUAAUUGGCAGCCGGCCUACUGGUUUCGGAGCGCAGCACAAGUCGCACUCUCUAUCAGCAAAGGUCUAGCAUCCAUUAAGCCUUUUUUCAACUUUUGACCUCGGAUCAGGUAGGGAUACCCGCUGAACUUAAGC